Paramuricea clavata is the source of this 480-nucleotide non-coding RNA. The record is from the annotation of a GenBank genome assembly. Lineage: Eukaryota; Metazoa; Cnidaria; Anthozoa; Malacalcyonacea; Plexauridae.
GGCAGUUUCCUGUGAAUGUUUGGGAAAAUAGAAUCAAAAUUGUCGAAAAUAUUCAAACAAGAUGUACCUAUUUGAUUUGCAUCAAAAACAUCAAAUAUGCCGGGGGAAAACAAAGGAAAUCAUGGUGGAAAACCCCUAAAAUGAACGUUGUCACCCCCCUGAAAGGCCACGUCUCCAUGGCAACGGAUGCACAAAGCUCAACUUUGUUUUUCAACCUUUUGUGAAGUCUUUCUAGUCUCAAAUCAUGCAUCAAUGAACAAUUUGUAACCUUUAAAUACAGUCUGACGAGUACUUAUUGAUUCUUUUGAUUAAAUUAAUUUUUUUCAUACCCAUGGGUUUACCCCCCUGUUCCGAGUGAAUGCCACCUCCCCAGACUGAAAACCAUCACAAUUCUUACACUAUAGGCAUUGGUCUUUCAGAAAAUCACAAUAAGAAUUUCUGCCUAAAAAGUUCCAAAAAUGUCAAAAUUUGCCUGUACUA